GGAUGUCGUGGAGGGCAAUCUGGCUGCCAUCUAUUAUAUCUAUCACCUAUUGAUUUUUCUGAGUUGGUUCUGCUUAUCUGACUUGCUAGGUGGGUCCCUUUUUCUCUCAGCUGUCCAUCUACAUCCUCCCACAACUCAGUCAAAAAGGGUGACCUUCCCAUUAGAGAAGAAAUCACCUUCAGGCAAGGGAACUGAAGUUGUCGAACUCCCUGAGGAUAAUUAUGAAACCAGCUCUGCUUGUGGACGGUAAACAAUUUCCUUUAAUU
RNAcentral lists this small RNA (266 nucleotides) under Ursus americanus (American black bear). Its description in RNAcentral is "7SK RNA (ENSUAMG00000003647.1)". The stretch from base 1 to 199 matches the Rfam family "7SK RNA". From Rfam's summary of the family: 7SK was discovered as an abundant small nuclear RNA in the mid-70s but a possible function has only recently been suggested. Lineage: Eukaryota; Metazoa; Chordata; Mammalia; Carnivora; Ursidae. The record is from RNAcentral.